Molecule: long non-coding RNA, 1234 nt
Filed under: Pan troglodytes (chimpanzee)
Lineage: Eukaryota; Metazoa; Chordata; Mammalia; Primates; Hominidae
Description: long non-coding RNA NONPTRT007588
Source: RNAcentral
CUUGCUGCUGCCAUGUGAAGGAUGUGUUUGCUUCCUCUUUCACCAUGAUUGAAAGUUUCCUGAGGCCUCCCUACCCAUGCUGAACUGUGAGUCAAUUAAACCUCUUUCCUGUCUGCAUGGUCAUCCCGCAGCUCAAACCCCUACCAGGAGCAUCCAGACAGGAAGGUACAGAGGCCCAGGUGAGGGUGUUUGGGCUUAGGCCCCAUGGCAGCAUCUAGCGAUGGGUGUCUGUGACUUCAAGGAGACAGAAUGGCUGCCAAGGGUUGGGGAUGAGGGAAUAGGGAGUUAUUGUUUUAUGAGUACAGAGUUUCAGUUGAGAAAGAUGAAAAAAGUGUGCUUUUAAGUUCUGAGGUAGAUGUGCAGGUUUGUUGCAUAGGUAAAUGUGUGCCAUGGUGGAAAACUUCCCAAUAUUAAAGCAGAGGUUAUACACGAAAAUGUCUGGAAGAGACAGGAAGGUAACAAAUAUGAGUGAAGUUGCCUUGGUUGAGUUUAUGGGGAGCCGAGGUUCCCAAAUAGAGGAACAGUUGCUGCUCAGCUCUAACCAUACUUGCCAGGUGUUUGGUUUUUAAAGAGAAGGAAGAAAUCUAAAUUUUUGUGAAACCACCCAAUUGUUUGGACACUAAAUAAGACUGAAAUAUAACUAUAAACAUACAAAUUACUAUGUGUACCCAACAAAAUCUGGUACCUAGGCAAAAAGGACAGCUGCAUUGCAUAUAGUUUGCAGUCAUAGUAUGUCUGAACAAGGGAUCUUAGUGUCAGUGUAAUCAUCAAUGCCUAAAUUUGUGAGGUGCUGAAUUCCAGUUCCUGCUAUUUCUUGUGCUUUUAAUGAUAAAAACAACAGAAACAUCAAACAUGUCUUUUUAAACCCAUGAACAAUUUCCUCACUUAUCUCAGAACAAGUAAAUAAUAUAAAAUACUUGAUAGGAGGAAAUUUAGAUUUAGGUUAAGUGAGACACUCUGAAAUCUUUCAAUAUUUUUGUAGCAGGGCUGGUUUCUGGUGAGUUCUUUCUUCCUGGCGUGCAGAGGGCUGCCCACUUGCUAUGUUCUCACGUGGCCUUUCCUCUGUGCCCUCGAGGAGAGACAGGGAGAACUUUGGUGUUCUUUCCUCUUACUAAAAGGACACCAGUCCUAUCAGAUUAUGGUUCCACCCUUAUGACCUCAUUUCACCAUAAUUACCUUCCUAAACGCUCUAUCUCCAACUAUAGUCACAUUAGGGGUUAGGAUUUCAACACAG